GAUGAACGCUGGCGGCGUGCCUAAUACAUGCAAGUAGAACGCUGAAGGAAGGAGCUUGCUCUUUCCGGAUGAGUUGCGAACGGGUGAGUAACGCGAGGUAACCUGCCUGGUAGCGGGGGAUAACUAUUGGAAACGAUAGCUAAUACCGCAUAACAGUAGAUGUUGCAUGAUAUCUACUUAAAAGGUGCAAUUGCACCACUACCAGAUGGACCUGCGUUGUAUUAGCUAGUUGGUGAGGUAACGGCUCACCAAGGCGACGAUACAUAGCCGACCUGAGAGGGUGAUCGGCCACACUGGGACUGAGACACGGCCCAGACUCCUACGGGAGGCAGCAGUAGGGAAUCUUCGGCAAUGGACGGAAGUCUGACCGAGCAACGCCGCGUGAGUGAAGAAGGUUUUCGGAUCGUAAAGCUCUGUUGUAAGAGAAGAACGAGUGUGAGAGUGGAAAGUUCACACUGUGACGGUAUCUUACCAGAAAGGGACGGCUAACUACGUG
RNAcentral lists this ribosomal RNA (496 nucleotides) under uncultured bacterium. RNAcentral describes it as "partial 16S ribosomal RNA". It matches the Rfam family "Bacterial small subunit ribosomal RNA", at positions 28 to 507 of the family's 1533-position model. The record is from RNAcentral.